Cyprinus carpio (common carp) is the source of this 1719-nucleotide long non-coding RNA. The record is from Ensembl. Lineage: Eukaryota; Metazoa; Chordata; Actinopteri; Cypriniformes; Cyprinidae.
AUCAUGUUGAACAUACUCUUUAACCAUUCAUUUUUAGUUAAAUAUUUUUAAGUGAAUUAGUAGGAUCUGUGCCAUCAUCACAUUUAUUUUUAGUUAAAUUGGUAAAGGGGUCUCCACCAUAGAACACAGUGGAGGGGAGAGGUAAAAAAACUGUCAAAAUACACACCUACACAAUAUACAGUACAUGUGUUUAAACAAUAAUCUUAUGCAAAUCAUAUGCAGUUUAAUCACCCCUUAUCUAGAAUAGUGAUGGGUGACAUGCUCUCACUCCUGAAAAUACAGCAUCCCACCCUGCAGCUAUGCUGAGUCAAAUAUUUCAGUCACAAAGAUAAAACAGCAUUGUAUACCACACAACUGCACCAUGGUCUGUCAUUUACAAGGAUUCACUAUAUGAUAGACUAAAAAAUGAGAAAAAAAAAAAAAAAAAAAAACUUAAUAUCAUCAAUGACUGUCAUUUUCUGCGAUUUUUUUUUUUUUUAAGAAAGACAGACCACAAUGUCAGUUACCCGGCAAGCAGCACAGCAAGGUUUAACCAAUGUAACUAAAAGAAAGUCUGUGGUCAGAACCCUUACAAUGCACCUCAAUGCAAACAUCAUCUGUUAAGUAUAGCAGUCAAGUACAGCAACAACUCUGAACCUCAACAUUUAAUUUGCUUUAAAAGGUCACAAAAGUGUUAAGGAACAAACACAAUUCUCUUCACCAAUGUAUUUAAACAAGUUAUUAACACUUCAUGAAUUUUAAAAUACAGAAAAAAAAAAUACUCCUAAAAUAAUCAUAUCUCUGUAUGUUAACAGAAAGCUCUGAAAGUGUGUACUAACAGACCUGACCUGUGAUCUAAACUGAACCCCAAAAUCUAUUUCUUCUUUUAGGUACACCUAUAACUGUGUUUAAUCUACCAGAGGUCCUUCUUCAUGGUAUCAAGAGGCACCAUAUGUAGUAAAGGUUUUCAAGUGUAAGGAUGCACAAGAAUGGAAAAGGGAUGUUGCAGUUUCCUGCAGAGGGCAGCAUGAGACCACAUUCUGCCUUAUCUGCCUUGGUGGUAUCCUGCACCAUCAGCUCCACUGAAGUGGACUUCAGCUCCAUCAGCUCCACCCUGGUGGGCUCCAGCUCCGCCGAAUCUGCUCCGGCUUCCAGGUCUGCCUGCUCUGCCUUGGCUCUCUGCUCCGCCUUGGCUCUCUGCUCUGCCGGUUCUGUCUCAGUCCCCUGUUCCUCUUCUUCCUCAUGGACCUGGCCCUCCAUCCCUCCCCCUGUUCUGCCUCCGCUCCACCUCCCUCAUAGACCCUGGUCUGUUCAUAUUAAGGAGCAUCUAGAAGCCACUCCUUGGGGGGCUCUGUCACGAACUCCAUUCUGUACCUUGCCAUUCACUAAGGACUCCAUUUCCAAUAAUCCUUUGCCCAGACUCAUCAGCACUCAUUAUCAGUUCACAGCUGCCUCAUAUUAGUAGGACUAAAAGAAUAGCACACACACUCUGUCUUCGCUGGUGAUUAAAUGUUUGUAUGUUAUCCUAGUUUCCUGUGAGUUCCUUGUUUUCCUAGUCUUGCCUUAGUGUCAUGGUCGUGGACCAUUUCCUUGACUCUGAUUGCUUGCUAUAUACCUUUAUCUUCACCUGUUCCACUCUUUUGCCAUUGCUUUGGAUGUGAUUUUUUUUUUUUUUUUGCUGAUGUUUGACCAUGCCUGUUUUGACCAUGCUCUUCUAAUAAAGCCUGCAAUUGGAUCCCA